AGGGCACAAAGCUGGGGUUCCCCUGUGAGCUUUGUGAAUGUCACUUACACAAAAAUUUCUGAUACGUCAUAUGCACUGAAUUUUGGAUUUGGAAUCAACAAUGUUACCAUGUCUGAGAAACUUGAACUCAGGGAUUCCACAUAUAAAUCAAUCCAGGACUCUAUAAAUAAUUUGCUGAAUGAGAUCCUAACUGAGCCCACUGCCACUCCAUUUGUGUUCAAAGAUGCCAAUUUCACGGGUAAUUCCACCACUAUUCAGGCUGAUGUACACUACGUUUUCUCAGAAAGCGACAUCCAGAAACCCAGUUCCUUUCUCUAUGCACUCAUUGUGGUUAAUAAUGAGACUAUUACCACAACUACACCUGCUGCAACAAGAACCACUUUGUAUUCCACAGUGCUGAGCACUACAAUCACAAAUAACAGCACUAGUGCAGCAUGGGUUGUGGCCAUCAUUGUCCCCUGUGCUAUUGCCAUCAUCCUCGUACCUUGCUGGAUUCUCCUUUGUUGUUUGCUCUGUGGUUGCUGUGCAGCAUUAAGAAGACGGUGGUCCAGAAGGCGGUCAUACAAUGUACAAUACACCACUCGAAACAGCCUUUUCUAGAGAACUCGAGACACAUCAGGAACAUUUUCUAACACUAAUGACUAAUUACUUAUAUUACUAAUCCAAAUUGUGAUGGUGGUACUUUAAAGUUUACAUUUAACUUUCCAUAAUGAUUAUGCUAUCUUAGA
RNAcentral lists this long non-coding RNA (728 nucleotides) under Sinocyclocheilus grahami. RNAcentral describes it as "lncRNA (ENSSGRG00000039499.1)". Lineage: Eukaryota; Metazoa; Chordata; Actinopteri; Cypriniformes; Cyprinidae. The record is from RNAcentral.